GACGAACCGUGCGAACGUUGUUCGGAAUUACUGGGCGUAAAGGGCUCGUAGGCGGCCAACUAAGUCGGACGUGAAAUCCCUCAGCUUAACUGGGGAACUGCGUCCGAUACUGGAUGGCUUGGAUUUGGGAGAGGGAUGCGGAAUUCCAGGUGUAGCGGUGAAAUGCGUAGAUAUCUGGAGGAACACCGGUGGCGAAGGCGACUACCUGGCCUGUUCUUGACGCUGAGGCGCGAAAGCUAGGGGAGCAAACGGGG
Molecule: ribosomal RNA, 254 nt
Filed under: uncultured bacterium
Lineage: Bacteria
Description: partial 16S ribosomal RNA
Rfam family: Bacterial small subunit ribosomal RNA
Source: RNAcentral